UCAAAGUCAUGCCAGUUACACUUUCUCAUGAUGUCAUAUUACAUUUAGGCUUUGGUCAUUUAUUUAUUUUUUAUUUUUUGGUUUUUUUUUUUUGAGACAGAGUCUCCCUCUGUUGCCCAGGCUGGAGUGCAAAGCGACACUCCAUCUUCAAAAAAAAC
RNAcentral lists this long non-coding RNA (158 nucleotides) under Homo sapiens (human). RNAcentral's name for it is "novel transcript". The record is from RNAcentral. Lineage: Eukaryota; Metazoa; Chordata; Mammalia; Primates; Hominidae.